Molecule: non-coding RNA, 527 nt
Organism: Conger conger (European conger)
Lineage: Eukaryota; Metazoa; Chordata; Actinopteri; Anguilliformes; Congridae
Source: the annotation of a RefSeq genome assembly
GAGAGACAGCGAGAGACAGAUCAGAUCUGGUCAGGUUUGUAUGGUGUGAUGAUCUGGAUGACAUCACGAUGACUAGGGCUCCCAUCGUCUUCAUCACCGUGUGGGUCUGGCUCACGGGUAUCAUGCAGGUGUUCACCGCUCAGCCAGGCCGCGUUCAACAGUUCCCCCCAUCGCUCCUCCUAAGGUCUGGGGAACCAGCGACGCUCAACUGCUCACACAGUGUCCCCAGCUACAACACAAUUCUCUGGUACCGCCAACCAGGGGCGGGUGGGGUUCUGGAGCUCCUCGGAUAUCUUUACCACAACAACCAGAACCUGGAGCCUCUGAUGGAGAAGACGCUCAAACUCGAAGGAGAUGGAAAAAAGUCGGGAACCAUGACGAUCUCCGGCAACGGGUUGGCCGUCGGUGACGCGGUGUACUUCUGUGCAGCCAGUGACACACAGCGCGGCGUCUUCUCUCUCCCCCCCAACAUAAACCCUCUGACAUGCAGAAAGCAGCCAGCAGGGUGCAGUAAAAGAUUAAGUUAA